This 1063-nucleotide long non-coding RNA is filed under the name Equus caballus (horse). RNAcentral describes it as "lncRNA (ENSECAG00000048445.1)". Lineage: Eukaryota; Metazoa; Chordata; Mammalia; Perissodactyla; Equidae. The record is from RNAcentral.
CCGUGCUCAGAACCCUUCCAGAUCUCACCCUAUGGACCUCUUCAUCUGGCUGUUCAUCUGUAUCCUUUAUAAUAAACCAGUCAAUCAGGCAUAGGAGAAACAUUCACAGGGUCCAGCUCCAGCAUCCCAAAGCCAGGCAGUGAGGGUGAGCACGGAACUGAGAAGCAGGAAAUUGAUAACUAGCACAGUUGCCGUGCGGCUGGUGCCUCACACAGGUCUCCUGCUGGCAGCUGAGUAUGGUCUCCAGGGGCAGAAAGACCAGGAACUUUCGAGCCAGAUACGGGCCUGAGAUACGGGUUGCAUAGCACGCAUCCUGCCUAUUAAUAACUGUAAGUCCUUGUGCAAGCCAUGGCCCCUCCCGGAACCUCAACACUCCAGUUGUCUCAUAGGCAAAUUGUCCUGCCUGCCUUGCUGGGUUCCAAGGUGACCCAAAGAAUUUGCGGCUGUGAAACUACUCUGCAAACCCUCAAAUGCCAUCCACUUGGAAAGUGUGCUUGUGGAGGCCACGAAGCUGUUGACAGCUGCUGUUUGGCAUUGGCUGGGAGGAAGGUCAGAGCGUCCAGUGCUCAUGCAUGUGAACUCUGGGACUUCACAUGCUGGGAACAUCAUUGGGAGACACCAGCUGACCCCCCUUGUCCCCAGGGAGCAAAUGUGCCUGGCUCACUGUCCCCGUGGACGUGAGUGAAGCAUUUACACAACACAAGCAAGGCUUCCAGAGCAUCCUAGAGCAAUGUUAACUUUUUUCAGUGCUCCGUGAAUGUCGUCUUUACACCUGUUAUCUCAUUCAUUUAACCUUCCUAGUGACUCUAGGAAACAGGUACUGUUCCGAUUUUUAAGUCGAGGAACAUGAAGCCCAGAGAAGUAUAGAAAUGUGCAAAAGGAUAGAGGUAGUUAGGGCAGAACAACCCACGCCUUCUGACUCUAGGUCUCACACCCUUCCCACCCCUUUAAUUUCCACGAGAAAAAAGAUCUUGACGUUAUUCAGCAAACAGGAAGUCUGUGUCUGGUUUAUUUUGCUAGUCUCCAUGGAACUUAGCCCUAGCUGAGAACAUGAUAGGUAUUC